AUCACCCUAGGCAGAAGAAAGAAGGGAGGGGGAAGACUCAAAUAUUUAUAUGUUUUUAAUUAAUAUGUUAUUCCAGGAAACCCAGAGGAGAGAAAAAAACUAUUUUACUGGAGCCUAUCUGUUCUUAAGAGGUUCGGGAGAGCUUCACUUUGGUCACAAAAAUUCCUCAGUUUUAUCAGUGGAGCACACACACACACACACACACACACACAAAAACAAAAAACGAAACAAAACAAAACAAAAACAUGAAAGGGGCGGUUUUCAGUGAGAUCCAGGCUAUUUAAAACCAUCACGUUAAACAGGUUCCCGUUUAAAUAGGACAGCCCAGAAGGUCUCUAGGUGGUGGUGGGGAGAAGAAAGGCAGCUUGCAGGGGUGCAUAGAUGGGAGGCACUGGAUGUUGCAGUAAAUGGUGUCACCAUUCUUUACGGUUUAAAUAAAUAAAAUCCUCUCCUGAAGGUAAGGGGACAAUCUAUUGUUUCCUAGAGAUUUUGUCUUAAUCUUAUCUGAUCUCUCUCUCCUGCUCAUCUCUAGUUCCCUAUCCUAUUGAAGAUGGAAUGCAUCAGUCCACGUGAGAACCAGAUAAAAAGAUACUGUACUAUAUGGCUUUCAGAAGCAAAGCUCACUUCAACUAGUAGAACCAGGCCAUACCUGUAGCUAAGGAAUAUGUGUCAAGCACCUUUAGAGCUGAGGAGAAGGGUCAGCUGGAUGGGUUUCACAUUUGGGAUUGUGUCCAGUCGGGGACUCCUUUCUCACCUACUCUGCUGUGAGGCCCGUACGUGAAAUACUCACACCAGUAAGAAGCUUCAACUGGCUAUGCCAUUUCCCCUUCAGAUUUGGACUGUCUGGAAAGUUACGCCCCCGGGGCUGAGAAGAAAGGAGGGAAGUAAGGGGACCGUGAAGGAUGGAGGCCAAACUCCUUUGUGCUUGACUCCAGUGUGAAACCAAUGAAAACCCAGGGACAACUGAGAAGGAAAGGUAGGUUGCGUUUGUUGGAAGAACAGAGCAUGUGCGUGCAUAUCUCGUCUGACCCGUACCUUGGAGAAGAAUUCUCUCUCUUCAGGGUGUUGAGGUGGAAAAGGGAGGGCGCUAGGCACACAGCCAGGUUGGUGGGGGUCAUCUGGUUUUCUUUGACGGCGGCCGUGACAUCGCUCAAGAAAUAAAGGAGCGUCUGUAGAACCUCCCGGUUCUCAUCAGGCAGGAGCAUAAUGGCGGCCUUGAUCGCCUGGAGGCGCUGGUCC
Molecule: long non-coding RNA, 1239 nt
Organism: Felis catus (domestic cat)
Lineage: Eukaryota; Metazoa; Chordata; Mammalia; Carnivora; Felidae
Exons: 2
Source: RefSeq, a predicted model, not a curated record